RNAcentral lists this ribosomal RNA (544 nucleotides) under uncultured Glomus. Its description in RNAcentral is "SSU rRNA". It matches the Rfam family "Eukaryotic small subunit ribosomal RNA", at positions 556 to 1099 of the family's 1831-position model. Lineage: Eukaryota; Fungi; Glomeromycota; Glomeromycetes; Glomerales; Glomeraceae. The record is from RNAcentral.
CAAGUCUGGUGCCAGCAGCCGCGGUAAUUCCAGCUCCAAUAGCGUAUAUUAAAGUUGUUGCAGUUAAAAAGCUCGUAGUUGAAUUUCGGAAUCUGUCCGUUGGUCGGGCUUAACUGUCCGUACUGAUGUGAUAGGUUCUUACCUUCUGAAUAACCAUCAUGUCAUUAAUUUGGUGUGUUGGGGAAGCAGGACUAUUACCUUGAAAAAAUUAGAGUGCUCAAAGCAGGCUAGUGCCUGAAUACAUUAGCAUGGAAUAAUAAAAUAGGACGGCAUGGUUCUAUUUUGUUGGUUUCUAGGAUCACCGUAAUGAUUAAUAGGGAUAGUUGGGGGCAUUAGUAUUCAAUUGUCAGAGGUGAAAUUCUUGGAUUUAUUGAAGACUAACUUCUGCGAAAGCAUUUGCCAAGGAUGUUUUCAUUAAUCAAGAACGAAAGUUAGGGGAUCGAAGACGAUCAGAUACCGUCGUAGUCUUAACCAUAAACUAUGCCGACUAGGGAUCGGACGAUGUUAAUUUUAUAAUGACUCGUUCGGCGCCUUACCGGGAACA